RNAcentral lists this ribosomal RNA (420 nucleotides) under uncultured archaeon. RNAcentral describes it as "partial 16S ribosomal RNA". It matches the Rfam family "Archaeal small subunit ribosomal RNA", at positions 323 to 746 of the family's 1478-position model. The record is from RNAcentral.
CUACGGGAGGCACCAGCUGAGGAAAUUUUACAAUGCUCGCAAGAGUGAUCGAGUAAGCCAGAGUGUUUCUCUUAGAGAAACUUUUGUCUGCUGUAAAAAGGCAGAUGAAUAAGGACUGGGUAAGACCGGUGCCAGCCGCCGCGGUAAUACCGGCGGUCCAAGUUGCAUCCACAUUUAUUGGGUCUAAAACAUCCGUAGCUUGUUUUGUAAGUUUCUUGUGAAAUCUCAUAUCUCGAGUAUGAGGCGUGCAAGAAGUACUGCAUUGCUAGAGACCGGAAGACGCAAAGAGUACGAUUAAGGUAACGGUAAAAUGUGUUAAUCUUGAUUGGACUAACAAUGGCGAAGGCACUUUGCGAGUACGGAUCUGACAGUGAGGGAUGAAGGCUAGGGGCGCAAAAGGGAUUAGAUACCCCAGUAGUC